Mandrillus leucophaeus (drill) is the source of this 1058-nucleotide RNA transcript. It is a transcript of the gene named CKLF-like MARVEL transmembrane domain-containing protein 6 pseudogene, with no coding region annotated. The record is from RefSeq and is a predicted model, not a curated record. NCBI's taxonomy places the organism in Eukaryota, Metazoa, Chordata, Mammalia, Primates, Cercopithecidae. The transcript has a single exon.
AAGUCAGCCGCCCGCUUGCUGCGGCCGCCGUGCUCACCUGCCCGAGGUGAUGGAGAACGGAGCGGUGUACAGUCCCACUACCGAGGAGGACCCGGGCCCCGCCAGAGGCCCCCGGAGCGGCCUCGCUGCCUACUUCUUCCUGGGUCGGCUCCCACGGCUCCGGCGCGUUCUCAAGGGCUUGAAGCUGUUGCUCUCUCUGCUGGCCUUCAUCUGUGAAGAAGUUGUAUCACAAUGUACUUUGUGGGGGACUUUAUUUUUUUUUUGAGUUUGUAAGCGACAGUGCCUUUCUUCUGAGUCUCCUUAUACUGAUUGUGUAUUACACUCCAUUUUAUGAGAGUUGAUACCACAAAAGUAAAAUCAUCAUAUUUUUAUAUUACUUUGGGAACAGGAUGUGUGUUUUUGUUGGCAUCCAAGAUUUUUGUUUCCACACAUGACAGGACUUCAGCUGAAAUUGCUGCAGUUGUGUUUGGAUUUAUAGCAAGUUUUAUGUUCCUACUUGACUUUGUCACUAUGCUGUAUGAAAAACGACAGGAGUCCCAGCUGAGAAGACCUGAAAAUAGCACUAGGGCUGAGGCUCUCACUGAACCACUUAAUGCCUAAAGACUCUGGGGAGCAGAUGUUAACUAAGGUAGUGACUCUGCACUGUGGUGCCUGAGCCCUGGCAGAAGCUCUUGUAAAAUUUGUGUAAUUGUUUAAACCACUUCUUUUGGAGAGCAAGAGGAAAGUCAAGAAGGCAGUUUUAUCAAUAUUGUGUCAGUCACCACAAAUUAGGCCAGAUAAGUUUCAAAAAUUUUUUUGAAGAUGAUUGAAACUUAUCUUAAAUGGAGAUUUUGGUGGGAGGAGGAGAGAACAAUUGUUUUUUAAAUUACACAGCUCAACGGUUCAUAAAUGAUUCUGUCAUUCUGUUACAAGUCAUUCUUUUACUAGGCUUAGCUUCCAAAUUAUGCUUUAUAGCUGUAUAAACAUCAUGAUUAUAUUCAUCUACUUAGAAAUUGUUUUAUUUUAAAAUUAAUUUGCUUAGCUGUUUGUUUUGAUGCUUAGAUUAUGUUGUGUUAAUG